CCUACGGGCGGCAGCAGUGAGGAAUAUUGGUCAAUGGGCGCGAGCCUGAACCAGCCAAGUCGCGUGAAGGAUGACUGCCCUACGGGUUGUAAACUUCUUUUAUAUGGGAAUAAAGUGCAGUAUGUAUACUGCUUUGCAUGUACCUUAUGUAUAAGGAUCGGCUAACUCCGUUCCAGCAGCCGCGGUAAUACGGAGGAUCCGAGCGUUAGCCGGAUUUACUGGGUUUAAAGGGAGCGUAGGCGGGUUGUUAAGUCAGUUGUGAAAGUUUGCGGCUCAACCGUAAAAUUGCAGUUGAUACUGGCAUCCUUGAGUACAGUAGAGGUAGGCGGAAUUCGUGGUGUAGCGGUGAAAUGCUUAGAUAUCACGAAGAACUCCGAUUGCGAAGGCAGCUCACUGGACUGCAACUGACACUGAGGCUCGAAAGUGUGGGUAUCAAACAGGAUUAGAUACCCGGGUAGUC
Molecule: ribosomal RNA, 460 nt
Filed under: uncultured bacterium
Lineage: Bacteria
Description: partial 16S ribosomal RNA
Rfam family: Bacterial small subunit ribosomal RNA
Source: RNAcentral